ACGGAAGGCAGCAGUGGGGAAUAUUGGGCAAUGGGCGAAAGCCUGACCCAGCAACGCCGCGUGAAGGAAGAAGGCCUUCGGGUUGUAAACUUCUUUUAUCAGGGACGAAGGAAGUGACGGUACCUGAUGAAUAAGCCACGGCUAACUACGUGCCAGCAGCCGCGGUAAUACGUAGGUGGCAAGCGUUAUCCGGAUUUACUGGGUGUAAAGGGCGCGUAGGCGGGGAUGCAAGUCAGAUGUGAAAUCCAUGGGCUUAACCCGUGAACUGCAUUUGAAGCUGUAUCUCUUGAGUGUCGGAGAGGUAGAUGGAAUUCCUAGUGUAGCGGUGAAAUGCGUAGAUAUUAGGAGGAACACCAGUGGCGAAGGCGGCUUACUGGACGAUAACUGACGUUGAGGCUCGAAAGCGUGGGGAGCAAACAGGAUUAGAUACCCUGGUA
This 437-nucleotide ribosomal RNA is filed under the name uncultured Clostridium sp. RNAcentral describes it as "partial 16S ribosomal RNA". It matches the Rfam family "Bacterial small subunit ribosomal RNA", at positions 341 to 792 of the family's 1533-position model. The record is from RNAcentral. Lineage: Bacteria; Bacillati; Bacillota; Clostridia; Eubacteriales; Clostridiaceae.